UAUGGCCACAUCAUGUUGAAACACUGAUUCCCAUAUGAUCACUGAAAUUAAGCAACAUGGAGCCUGCUCAGUAUCUACGUGGGUGACCACUUGGAAAUACUAGGUCUUGU
Non-coding RNA from Acanthosepion pharaonis, 110 nucleotides. The record is from the annotation of a GenBank genome assembly. Lineage: Eukaryota; Metazoa; Mollusca; Cephalopoda; Sepiida; Sepiidae.